This is a long non-coding RNA of Hyla sarda, 471 nucleotides long. RefSeq lists it as uncharacterized. NCBI's taxonomy places the organism in Eukaryota, Metazoa, Chordata, Amphibia, Anura, Hylidae. The transcript has 4 exons. The record is from RefSeq and is a predicted model, not a curated record.
CAGCGCUGCACCCAACGCUCUAAAUGAAUGCCGGGUGCAGCAGGGAGAAAGUGGGGGUCCCUCCUUUGGAUAGGGGAUAAGAUGUCUUGGGGCUGAGUACCCCUUUAAGUGGAAAUCUUGGAAUGCAUAUGAACAAUGUCCUAACUACUGUCCAACACAAACCCUGGAGCACCAGAGGUGCACACUGCACAGCCCAAACCUGCCCAGGAACCACUCAAGUGCGGGGCUCCCUCAGGUUACAUGAAUAGUUACAGUAUAUACUGCAGAUCAGAUCCUUGCUUGCAAUUAUCCAGCACAGGCGGACCGCAACAAAGAGGAGGAGGGCAGUGCUUGACAUCUAUACAAGAGAGGAUUCAUGCACAAGCCCUGCUGGCAGAUGUCAACUGUGAGCUUCUGAGAUGCAAGACAAGAAGUGUUGUCAUAGGGGACACAAGCUUUUCUAACUAUAAUUGGACAUAAAUAAACUACCAA